UAGGGAAUCUUCGGCAAUGGACGAAAGUCUGACCGAGCAACGCCGCGUGAGUGAAGAAGGUUUUCGGAUCGUAAAACUCUGUUGUUAGAGAAGAACAAGGACGUUAGUAACUGAACGUCCCCUGACGGUAUCUAACCAGACAGCCACGGCUAACUACGUGCCAGCAGCCGCGGUAAUACGUAGGUGGCAAGCGUUGUCCGGCUUUAUUGGGCGUAAAGCGAGCGCAGGCGGUUUCUUAAGUCUGAUGUGAAAGCCCCCGGCUCAACCGGGGAGGGUCAUUGGAAACUGGGAGACGUGAGUGCAGAAGAGGAGAGUGGAAUUCCAUGUGUAGCGGUGAAAUGCGUAGAUAUAUGGAGGAACACCAGUGGCGAAGGCGGCUCUCUGGUCUGUAACUGACGCUGAGGCUCGAAAGCGUGGGGAGCAAACAGG
Molecule: ribosomal RNA, 429 nt
Filed under: Gemmatimonadota bacterium
Lineage: Bacteria; Pseudomonadati; Gemmatimonadota
Description: Gemmatimonadetes bacterium partial 16S ribosomal RNA
Rfam family: Bacterial small subunit ribosomal RNA
Source: RNAcentral